RNAcentral lists this non-coding RNA (206 nucleotides) under Desulfuromonas acetoxidans. The record is from RNAcentral. Lineage: Bacteria; Pseudomonadati; Thermodesulfobacteriota; Desulfuromonadia; Desulfuromonadales; Desulfuromonadaceae. RNAcentral also lists the same sequence under 1 other name.
AAAUACGUUCACCACGACAGUGUUCAGCCAUAGGAGCCACCAAGCCUCCGCGGCUGCUGAAAAGGGAAUCCCGUGAAAAUCGGGAACGGACCCACCGCUGUAACCGGGGACAACAAUCGCAUAACGCCACUGAAGAAUGACUUCGGGAAGGCGCGAUUGGAGGAUGAUCCGGAAGUCAGAAGACCUGCUAUCGUGGUUUAAUGUCA